GAAGCGGGCAGGGACAACUGUUUGCUUUCCGUUUCUUUCUUGUUUUCUCUUUUCUUUUCUUCUUUUUAAUGAACGUUUGGUUUUAGUUUUCGUGUUUCCCCUUCAAAUUAGAGAGAGCACAAGCAGGGGAGAAGCAGGGGCAGAGGGAGAAGCAGGCUCCCCACUGAGCAGGGAGCUGGAUGCUGGGCUCCAUCCCAGGACCCUGGAAUCAUGACCUGAGUGGAAGGAAAAUGCUCAACUGACUGAGCCACUCAGGUACUCCUCCCUAAACAUAAUUUUUAAUGACUUUAUUUGAGAGAGAGAGAGAGAGCAAGAGCACUA
This 321-nucleotide long non-coding RNA is filed under the name Mustela putorius furo (domestic ferret). RNAcentral's name for it is "lncRNA (ENSMPUG00000024276.1)". The record is from RNAcentral. Lineage: Eukaryota; Metazoa; Chordata; Mammalia; Carnivora; Mustelidae.